This 253-nucleotide ribosomal RNA is filed under the name uncultured bacterium. RNAcentral's name for it is "partial 16S ribosomal RNA". It matches the Rfam family "Bacterial small subunit ribosomal RNA", at positions 524 to 776 of the family's 1533-position model. The record is from RNAcentral.
UACGUAGGGUGCGAGCGUUGUCCGGAAUUAUUGGGCGUAAAGAGCUCGUAGGCGGUCUGUCGCGUCUGCUGUGAAAACUCAGGGCUUAACCCUGAGCUUGCAGUGGGUACGGGCAGACUAGAGUGCGGUAGGGGAGACUGGAAUUCCUGGUGUAGCGGUGAAAUGCGCAGAUAUCAGGAGGAACACCGGUGGCGAAGGCGGGUCUCUGGGCCGUAACUGACGCUGAUGCACGAAGGUCAGGGGAGCAAACGGG